Podarcis lilfordi (Lilford's wall lizard) is the source of this 100-nucleotide non-coding RNA. The record is from the annotation of a GenBank genome assembly. Lineage: Eukaryota; Metazoa; Chordata; Lepidosauria; Squamata; Lacertidae.
CCAUCUAAGUUUGUUCUUGGUAUAAGCUUUCGUGUGCAUGCUGGUAUCUGAAGAAGUGUGCAUGCACAUGAAAGUUUAUACCAAGAACAAACUUAGCUGG